ACUCCUACGGGAGGCAGCAGUGGGGAAUAUUGCACAAUGGGCGCAAGCCUGAUGCAGCCAUGCCGCGUGUAUGAAGAAGGCCUUCGGGUUGUAAAGUACUUUCAGCAGUGAGGAAGGUGGAGUCGUUAAUAGCGGCCUCAUUUGACGUUAGCUGCAGAAGAAACCCGGCUAACUCCGUGCCAGCAGCCGCGGUAAUACGGAGGGGGUUAGCGUUGUUCGGAAUUACUGGGCGUAAAGCGCGCGUAGGCGGACUAGUUAGUCAGAGGUGAAAUCCCAGGGCUCAACCCUGGAACUGCCUUUGAUACUGCUAGUCUUGAGUUCGAGAGAGGUGAGUGGAAUUCCGAGUGUAGAGGUGAAAUUCGUAGAUAUUCGGAGGAACACCAGUGGCGAAGGCGGCUCACUGGCUCGAUACUGACGCUGAGGUGCGAAAGUGUGGGGAGCAAACAGGAUUAGAUACCCUGGUAGGCUCUGCU
This 473-nucleotide ribosomal RNA is filed under the name uncultured bacterium. RNAcentral's name for it is "bacterial SSU rRNA". It matches the Rfam family "Bacterial small subunit ribosomal RNA", at positions 335 to 801 of the family's 1533-position model. The record is from RNAcentral.